AUAGAUAGGAUUUUGCUCAUA
This 21-nucleotide microRNA is filed under the name Picea abies (Norway spruce). RNAcentral describes it as "pab-miR3693j". The record is from miRBase by way of RNAcentral. Lineage: Eukaryota; Viridiplantae; Streptophyta; Pinopsida; Pinales; Pinaceae.